Molecule: long non-coding RNA, 1059 nt
Organism: Manis pentadactyla (Chinese pangolin)
Lineage: Eukaryota; Metazoa; Chordata; Mammalia; Pholidota; Manidae
Exons: 5
Source: RefSeq, a predicted model, not a curated record
UCCGAGCGGGGCACGCUCCUGCUCCCAAGAAACCUAAAGGGGGCCGGCUAAGACAAUGGGUACCCUAGCACCCUGGAGACUUUGCCUGUGACCUAGCUCUCCUCGAGGGCCGCCACCUCGCGGAGGCGCGGAGCGAUGCCCCCUACUGGGAAGCCUGCGCCUGGAGCACCGCGCAGCUGGUCCUGGCUAGACACACUUUGCAUCCGAAGAUCUCUGGUGGCAGCAGGGUGGCACCAUGGUUAGGAGCCCAGGCUGCCUGGAUCCCAGCCCUCGCUCCACCGCUCACCAGCUCUGUGACCCUGGGCCAGUUAAUAAUGAAAAUGAUCAGAAAGAGAAUGAAACACCUUGCAAGCUAUGACAGAGGCAAUCUCUUUGGCAAAUGAGAGAAGUGUCCAGACAAAGAUGGGAUCCGAGAGCUACGGAUACUCACAGUGCAGAGGGAGAGAAAGAAGGACACCUCCCCUGUGUCUCUCCCCCAUGGCAGGCUGGCUUAGGGGACAUGAAGAGAAAGGGAGCAGCAGAGACUUGCAUCCUCGUAAACAGAGCUCAUUCGGUAAAUACUACCCAGGCCUUCCAGACACUGUGCUGGGGAGAGAUGGCGACAAGGACACAGUCCCUACCAGCAGCACUCCACUCAACAUGGCAGGUCCUGUACUCGUUGUGCGAGGCACGGGCAACACAAAGAGAUGGCUUGCCUGCAAGAGACCCAGCUGGUUGGAGUUGGAGGCACAUUUUGUUUCUCCAACCAGCUGGGAAGGCGGCUGGAGCAGACCAGGAGAUCGCCGCUAAUGUUUUACAUGUCAAUAUGGUCCCUUCUCACUAACUUGCCAAGAUUUGAUCAGCUAAAUUGGUCUGUGUGGUGUGCUCCUUGCAAUGCACAGUGUGUAUUUAGAUCUUCCAGCAGUAUCACAAGAGCGGCUGCACGCGACGCAACAGCAGUAAACAGAUUGCAGUGGAUGUGGUUCUGAAGCUUUUUUUCUAGAUUUUCUGAGCUAUUUCCUGCCUCUUUGGGACUUGGGUUUCAAUAAGGUUGUCUCCUUGGGCCCCAGUUAGGUAAGG